Molecule: ribosomal RNA, 403 nt
Filed under: uncultured bacterium
Lineage: Bacteria
Description: bacterial SSU rRNA
Rfam family: Bacterial small subunit ribosomal RNA
Source: RNAcentral
UGAGGAAUAUUGCACAAUGGGCGCAAGCCUGAUGCAGCAACGCCGCGUGCGGGACGAAGGCCUUCGGGUCGUAAACCGCUUUUCUGGGGGAAGAGCAAGGACGGUACCUCAGGAAUAAGUCUCGGCUAACUACGUGCCAGCAGCCGCGGUAAAACGUAGGAGGCGAGCGUUAUCCGGAUUUACUGGGCGUAAAGCGCACGCAGGCGGCUCUGUUAGUCGGACGUGAAAGCUCUCGGCUUAACCGGGAGAGGCCGUUCGAUACUGCGGGGCUUGAGGUAGGGAGAGAAAUGCGGAAUUCCCGGUGUAGUGGUGGAAUGCGUAGAUAUCGGGAGGAACACCUGUGGCGAAAGCGGCAUUCUGGCCCUCACCUGACGCUGAGGUGCGAAAGCGUGGGUAGCAAACA